Molecule: unclassified non-coding RNA, 210 nt
Filed under: uncultured Sebacinales
Lineage: Eukaryota; Fungi; Basidiomycota; Agaricomycetes; Sebacinales
Description: sequence contains ITS2
Source: RNAcentral
UACUCUCACACUCUCCAAUCCUUUGGAUUGGGAGUGGUGGACUUGGGUGUUGCUGUUACUGUUACUGCGCGGCUCACCUCAAAUGCAUUAGUGCAACUCCUGGUUGGACAUAGUACGGCGUGAUAAGUGUCUUCGCCGGCGCCUUGAAAGAGGGUGGCUGAUCGGGAGCUCUGUGCUUUCAAACCGUCCUUGCAAGGACAAUGACUGACA